GUCCCAUUCCGAACCCGGCCGUUAAGCCGUCUCGAGCCGAUGGUAGUGCAGGGGCAACCCUGUGUGAGAGUAGGUAGCGCCCGGG
Molecule: ribosomal RNA, 85 nt
Filed under: Thermotogaceae bacterium
Lineage: Bacteria; Thermotogati; Thermotogota; Thermotogae; Thermotogales; Thermotogaceae
Source: RNAcentral